This is a non-coding RNA of Pelobates cultripes (western spadefoot toad), 458 nucleotides long. The record is from the annotation of a GenBank genome assembly. Lineage: Eukaryota; Metazoa; Chordata; Amphibia; Anura; Pelobatidae.
CAACAUUACAAUGCAGUAUAAGUUUUCUAAUUACUGAUUUUGAGUCUUUGUCUGGGAAUGAAGGCCAGGAUGUUAACCACCACAAGCAGAUUCCAACUUCGCCCAAGGAGAAGAACAAAACUAUAAAGAUGGAAACCCUGGAUCCCAAAAAUAUUUUGAAUUUGCUUCCUGGCUUUACAGCUGAAAAGGCUACUAAAACUGUAAUUGUUUUUGCCAGAACUGAUGACAAUGUAAUAGCAAAGAUAAUAUUGAAAACAGUAUUCUGAAGCAAGCAUGUGAUCUUCCCAGGAAUGCCAAUGAAUAACAUGGGACACAGGAAAGAAAGCAUGAGAGAAGAGAGGAUGAGGUAACUUAGAAACCUAUUAUUGGCUCGUACUAUGGGUGAAUGUCUGUGCAUUAUGAAAAUACCAAGUAUUGCAGCAGUAAUAAAAAAUAACACAAGUGGAAACAAUGUCAAC